AGGGCGGAAGCUACUAAGCAGUUAGCUGUUACCUAUCCAUAAGUGAAACUUAUCACCCACCCUA
RNAcentral lists this transfer RNA (64 nucleotides) under Gibbosula laosensis. RNAcentral describes it as "tRNA-Asn". Lineage: Eukaryota; Metazoa; Mollusca; Bivalvia; Unionida; Margaritiferidae. The record is from RNAcentral.